ACACUGACGUCGCGAUGCAUAUCAAUAAGCGGAGGAAAAGAAACUAACUAGGAUUCCCUCAGUAACGGCGAGUGAAGCGGGAAGAGCUCAAAUUUGAAAUCUUCAAGGUUCUACCUUGACGAAUUGUAGUUUAUAGAAGUGUUUUCUGUUGGAGUUUUGGUAAAAGUUCUUUGGAAUAGGACAUCAUAGAGGGUGAGAAUCCCGUAUUUGACCAUUAUUUCCAGCUUUGUGAUACACUUUCAAGGAGCCGGAUUGUUUGGGAAUGCAGUCCAAAAUGGGUGGUAAAUUUCAUCUAAAGCUAAAUACUGGCGAGAGACCGAUAGCGAACAAGUACCGUGAGGGAAAGAUGAAAAGAACUUUGAAAAGAGAGUUAAACAGUACGUGAAAUUGUCAAAAGGGAAGCGUUUGACACCAGUGUUGUUUUCUCGAAAAUCAAUUAAAAAUGGCAGGAUUUUGUGUUGUAUUGACUUUAUCAGCUUUCUGCACUUUUUUCUUGUCUUUUUUAAUGCACUUUUCGUUUAACAAGUCAACAUCAAUUUCUUUUGCUGUAAAAGGGUCAUUGGAAGGUGGCUUUCUUUUCGGAGAAAGUGUUUAUAGCCUUUGGCCUCUGCAGUCGGAGAGAUUGAGGUCUGCAGCGUAGAUCCUUCGGGGUUAGAUAUAUUUGUGCUAAGUUAUAGUUUUUCAUAGACAACAUGUUGACUAUGAUUAAUCAUGUAGCUUACUCGCUUAUGCUAUUUUACCUACGCUUAGGAUGUUGACGCGCGUGUGUGCGUG
This 774-nucleotide ribosomal RNA is filed under the name uncultured Neocallimastigales. Its description in RNAcentral is "partial large subunit ribosomal RNA". It matches the Rfam family "Eukaryotic large subunit ribosomal RNA", at positions 25 to 628 of the family's 3401-position model. Lineage: Eukaryota; Fungi; Neocallimastigomycota; Neocallimastigomycetes; Neocallimastigales. The record is from RNAcentral.